RNAcentral lists this ribosomal RNA (484 nucleotides) under uncultured bacterium. RNAcentral's name for it is "partial 16S ribosomal RNA". It matches the Rfam family "Bacterial small subunit ribosomal RNA", at positions 28 to 523 of the family's 1533-position model. The record is from RNAcentral.
GACGAACGCUGGCGGCGUGCUUAACACAUGCAAGUCGAACGAUGAAGCUAGAGCUUGCUCUGGUGGAUUAGUGGCGAACGGGUGAGUAACACGUGAGUAACCUGCCCCGAACUCUGGGAUAACUGCUGGAAACGGUAGCUAAUACCGGAUAUGACCAAUGAAGGCAUCUUCUGAUGGUGGAAAGAAUUUCGGUUCGGGAUGGACUCGCGGCCUAUCAGCUUGUUGGUGAGGUAACGGCUCACCAAGGCGACGACGGGUAGCCGGCCUGAGAGGGUGAUCGGCCACACUGGGACUGAGACACGGCCCAGACUCCUACGGGAGGCAGCAGUGGGGAAUAUUGCACAAUGGGCGCAAGCCUGAUGCAGCAACGCCGCGCGAGGGAUGACGGCCUUCGGGUCGUAAACCUCUUUUAGUAGGGAAGAAGCGAAAGUGACGGUACCUGCAGAAAAAGCACCGGCUAACUACGUGCCAGCCGCCGCUGUAA